Molecule: long non-coding RNA, 1798 nt
Filed under: Nicotiana tabacum (common tobacco)
Lineage: Eukaryota; Viridiplantae; Streptophyta; Magnoliopsida; Solanales; Solanaceae
Description: long non-coding RNA (NTAB_LNC015823)
Source: RNAcentral
UCUUUCCCAAUUUUACUAAUACCCCAAUUGUUAUUACAACAAUUAUUACAGACCCAAAAUGAAUGAAAUAAAUUACAUAAAUAAAUGACUAUAAGGAGCCUACAACAGGCCCAAAGAUACACCCGGCCAGGCCAGGCCUUCAAUCCCAUGGUUCACAAUAGCCCAGAAAUGACAUCUUCAUUGACAUAAGGUAGCCAUAAAUCAAUUAAUUCACCCACUAGGUAUAAAACAUAUAGAACCAAGACCCUAGUGUUUCAGAGUUCCCAAGGGCUUCAAGAACUCAGGGCAGUGCUCACACUAGGGAGGUCAAAGGGCAAAACCUAAGUAGCCUUGGCUUUCAGCUGGCUAAGGAAUAAGAACUCAAAGAGAUCAAGUAGUAAAGGAAUAGAAUGAGGUUAAGGGACAACACUGAAGGACAGAAUCAAAUUAAGCAUGUAAAAAAAUAGGUAACAAAACAUGCUUAGAUUUAAGACUGACUUAACCAAGUUUCAGAAAACGAGUUCAAUCACAUAAUGCGCAUAUUAACAAGACAAGUUGCAAGACAGACUUAUAGUAAGAAGAAAAAGAGAUUUCAGAUUAUGCUAAGUGCAGAAGGCUAGUGUCACAAGAAGGAAUCAUAUCAAUUGGCAAUAGAACCUAACAUGCUGAGAACUAAUUAGGGUAACUACUGGAGAAGUCAAGACAUGAUGAAAACAAGAUCAAAACAGGCUACAUUGUAGCAAUUCAGAAACAGACUUGUUAUUUACUUAAUGAAUACACUCAUACUUAAUCAACUAAUACAUAGAAGGAGAUAGGAGAGAAUGUUCCAGUAGCAAUUUUAAACAGUAGAGGGGUGGCUAUCAAUAACACAUAGGCUAGGCAGAAUUAAAACAAAUUAAUCAACUCAGGUCUAAACAUGCCUCAAACUACAAACGUAAUGGCAUUCAGAUUAGCAAAUCCUAAAACAGAAGUAACACAUGGAAUAAAAAUCUUUAGAAUGAAAACUCAUGUUAAUGACAGGUAAAUCAGAAUGAAAUGACAAAGGUUUGGUAACUUACCAGUUAAAUGAAACAAGAAAGAAAAGAAGCCCGCAGUGUUAUGAAUAUCAACGAAAGAGCAAGAACCCAGAAUUUCUGGCCUUGGCUUUCAGCCGGCCAGGAAUCAAAGUGCAGAACAAGAUUGUUAAAGAGCAAAGAGCACACAACUUUAAUUUUUAGUAAUUUUCUUAAUGAUUCGAGAGCCGUUUCAAAGGGGAGUGGGGAGGGGUUUAUAUAGUGGAGAAAUAAAACACAUAAACAUGGAAAAACAUCAGCCAAACACUUAGAAAGGAAAGCAAUGGAAAUCAGUAAGGAAAAGAGAAAAUUUCAAAACCCUAAUUUUAGGUAAAGUACACAAAUCGGCAGAAAUCUAAAAUAAAAUGUGAAAAUUACAUGCUGCAUAGAAUAAGAUGAACAUAGACAUAAAUACCUUUUAAAAUCAAAGAAUCGAACCAGAUUUGGUUCAAUUUAAAAGAAUCUGAAACCCUAAUUUUAGGGUGAGUAGGAAUCACAGAAAUACAUAGAGAUAUACUAUAAAAGAACAAGAAUGAACAUAGACGGAAAAGUUCAAGGAACUGAACCAGCAUUGGUUCGAAGUUGAUGAGAUCCGCUUGCCAUGUUUAGGCAAGCAGUAUAUAGAAGGUUCCAGUACUAGGGGGAAGUAGAAUAUGGCAAGAAACAGCUAUGUAAUCUCAUGUCCGGUGGGAUUAGGAGAAACAAUUGGGGGAGACGGCUAGGGUUUGGGCAGAGAGAUGAGUGAAUCAUAAGGCGGUGGAUGGUGG